GUAGGGCGCGAGCGUUGUCCGGAAUUAUUGGGCGUAAAGGGCUUGUAGGCGGUUGGUCGCGUCUGCCGUGAAAUCCUCUGGCUUAACUGGGGGCGUGCGGUGGGUACGGGCUGACUUGAGUGCGGUAGGGGAGACUGGAACUCCUGGUGUAGCGGUGGAAUGCGCAGAUAUCAGGAAGAACACCGGUGGCGAAGGCGGGUCUCUGGGCCGUUACUGACGCUGAGGAGCGAAAGCGUGGGGAGCGAACAGGAUUAGAUACCCUGGUAGUCCACGCUGUAAACGUUGGGCACUAGGUGAGGGGGCCACCCGUGGUUUCUGCGCCGUAGCUAACGCUUUAAGUAGUCCACCUGGGGAGU
Molecule: ribosomal RNA, 356 nt
Filed under: uncultured bacterium
Lineage: Bacteria
Description: bacterial SSU rRNA
Rfam family: Bacterial small subunit ribosomal RNA
Source: RNAcentral